AGAGUGGUUAAAAGGCGGUACAAAUAGCAAUCGGGAAGCCUAGAAGACCCGUAGGCGAGACAGAAUCGUGGAGGAAGCAGAGGGCACGUAUCAGCAUCCACGGAGUUAUGGGAGACUUGUAGCUGAAGGCCUACCAAGAUAAGUAGAGCAUUUGUGUCUCUGGGUUUCUGAGUUAAUGAUGCCAGCAGUCUCUGAACUAGCCAAAUUGUGGUGGAUUUAUUAUUUACAUUACAACUCCAUUUAAAAAUGAAAACAUAUGCCCACAUGUUCAGUGCUUCACAAAUACACGCUGUAGAAUUUUAUAUCCAGUAACAGAUGCAAUUUCCCUAUCAAAUAUAAUUUCUGUUUGUCUUCUGAACUCUGUAUUGUUGUGGAAAUUCCAGUUUAUCAGCUGCACUGGAGCCGAAUGAAGUGAGUAGUCCAAGACAUGAGCAGAUUUCUGCUGUGCACCUAGUAUUCCUUUCCCUUCCUAUUUAAUGCUAAUAUUGCUUUAUGCUAAAGAUGCAUUUUUUAAUGCUAUACAACUUGAUUCGUGGGGAAAAAGCAACACAAAUAAUUAAAGUUCUCUUUUGGGAACGUGAGUGGGCAGAGAGAAGUCAAGCGAGGGAAUCUUUUUGGUGGAACUUGUUUCACUUUCUUCUCCAGCCUGGUUGACAUUAUAGUGCUGAGAACAAUUGGGAGUUACUGAAGGCCCAGUUUAUCUUGCCGAUUUCUGUAGACUAUGUGUGACUUUGUUCCAAGUGACCCGUAAGAGCAAUGGCACCUGACGGAGCAACUGUGUAAAGCUGGGAGCAAGCCCAUUUUCAGGAGCAAUUUAGAGACUUCUUUUGACAUUUUCCCCCUUUUCUUUUUAAAAUUUAUUGCAGUCUGACAACAGCAAGUACCCAAAUCCUGUUAGGAAAUAAUGCAAUUUCUGAGCUUGGGUUCUGCUCUAACAAAGUUACAGGGUAGAUGUCACCAGCGUGGAGGGGAAGUUAAUCGUGGCAGGCUUGGAAAAAGAUUCAGUGCUGAAGUCUGGUUGUUCCCAUUUUCUCUUAAAGUGGUCUGCAAGUCUCCUCUCCCUUUUCUCAUUUUAAUUUGUUGUCUCAGGUUUGCUAGGCUGUGGAUUCUGGACAAGAGAACAGGAUCUGCUAGAAAAGCAAGGGAAAUACGGCUUCCAAGAUGACAGAGAACAGGAGGUUGCGAUGACUACUGUUGAGACCAUUGUCAAGGGAAAGUCCUUUUCUUUUGAAGACCACUUGGAUGCUGACAUUUGCUGGAAGUGCCUAGAUUACUGCGAAGGCUUGGCUGGGUUUAUGGUUGACAAAACAUCUUUUGGUGACAUCAGAAGGGACCUACUGGUGUCCGCGUGGGCAGAAGAGAGUAGUACUACUGCUUUGAGAUAGCCAGUUGAAAGCCAGCACCUGCUUCGGUCCACAGGAAGGCAAACUAGCUCCCAUCACACAGGCUAAUGCUUUGUUCUUAGUUGAAAUCUAUACCAAGACUGCUGAGCAUCCUGGAUUCUCCAACUGGGCUGCCACAGGCAGAUUCUGGCUCAGCAUCUCAAUAUGGCAGAGAUCUUCUUCACUGCACAUGUACCCACUGGGAGGACUCAAACCUGGUAUUUCAGAACUCAGGAGAAAAAUUCACACUUUGCAUUUCUCACUGUCACAUGGAGGAGACUGUGACAAGGCCAGCUCUAGUGGCACAGGAUCAUAUGUACAAAUGGAUAUUCUUGAUAAACUUAUAGAAGUGAUGGCACAGACCCAAAGUUCCAAGCACUCCUCACUCUACCCUCAGAAGAUGCAAAGAUGAGUCCAUGCUCCAACUGAUCGCAUCUGGAUUCUAGAGUGUUCUUGAGUGUGUGAAGCUUCAAAGGAAGGAUGUUAAUGUGCUUCGAGGCAGAGGUCAGGAUGUACCUGAAGAAAGGCCUCAUACCAAAAGGUGGAUGUGAUAAGAGACCCAUUAACCAGUAGCAGAGGUCACGUGGCUUGUGUAAAGAGGAGACAUCUGGACCACGCAUGCCCAUUUUAUCACUGGACACCUUUGCAGAGAUUAUGGGGAUGAUCCAGUAACACUGCUUUUGGGUGAGUAGCCGAUGUCUUCACUGGGAUCAGGCAGUCUCCUCACAAAACACUCCAAGAGCUGACAGUAUCUCAUUAGUGGGUACAGUGUCAUUGCAGUGGAGUGUCCCAUUUGUGGACAGUGGAAGUCAAAGUGAUUUAUAGAGAGCAGUUGUCAAGUCAUGGCUGAGUGAGGAACCUGCAUAGGAAAACCCCUUGAGAAGCCUCUCCACAAAGCCAGCCGGUGGGUGACAGUGGCUGGCUCCUUGAUUAGAGGCCAUACAGAGUUGUUUCUGAAUCUAGACUUUGGGUCAUUGGGGGCAGGAGGUAGUUCCUUAUUCAUCGUUCUGUUUUGUUCGAGUUGAGAAACGUGUGUAAGUACACUUUAGACUCAACGAGGAACGUGGGCUUCUUUCACUUCCAGUGCCUGUAGAACCUUCGUCAGCAGCACGCUUGUGGGGAACAGGAAGAGUAGGGCUUUCUUUCUUUCAUACUUUAGCCAAUAAUGUUAGAUUUCUAGUUAUUUUAAAGAACGUCUUUUGUAUGCUUGUGAUAGAAUCAAUAAAGUUUUAAAAUUUAAA
Molecule: long non-coding RNA, 2623 nt
Filed under: Mus musculus (house mouse)
Lineage: Eukaryota; Metazoa; Chordata; Mammalia; Rodentia; Muridae
Description: predicted gene 2629
Source: RNAcentral